AUUGAACGCUGGCGGCAUGCCUUACACACGCAAGUCGAACGGUAACAGGUCUUCGGAUGCUGACGAGUGGCGAACGGGUGAGUAAUACAUCGGAACGUGCCUAGUAGUGGGGGAUAACUACUCGAAAGAGUGGCUAAUACCGCAUGAGAUCUACGGAUGAAAGCAGGGGAUCGCAAGACCUUGUGCUACUAGAGCGGCCGAUGGCAGAUUAGGUAGGUGGGGGGAUAAAAGCUUACCAAGCCGACGCUCUGUAGCUGGUCUGAGAGGACGAUCAGCCACACUAGGACUGAGACACGGCCCAGACGCCUACGGGAGGCAGCAGUGGGGAAUUUUGGACAAUGGGCGAAAGCCUGAUCCAGCAAUGCCGCGUGCAGGAUGAAGGCCUUCGGGUUGUAAACUGCUUUUGUACGGAACGAAAAGCCCCGGGUUAAUACCCUGGGGUCAUGACGGUACCGUAAGAAUAAGCACCGGCUAACUACGUGCCAGCAGCCGCGGUAA
RNAcentral lists this ribosomal RNA (498 nucleotides) under uncultured bacterium. RNAcentral describes it as "partial 16S ribosomal RNA". It matches the Rfam family "Bacterial small subunit ribosomal RNA", at positions 30 to 523 of the family's 1533-position model. The record is from RNAcentral.